AGCGAACGUUUGCGGCGGGCCUAACACAUGCAAGUCGAACGCACUAGCAAUAGUGAGUGGCGCACGGGUGCGUAACACGUGGGUAAUCAACCCUUCAGCUUGGGAUAACGACUUGAAAGGGUCGCUAAUACCGGAUACGGCGCGGGAGGCUUCGGCUUCUCACGAGAAAGCCUCGCAAGGGGCACUGAAGGACGAGCCUGCGGCCCAUCAGCUAGUUGGUGAGGUAAGAGCUCACCAAGGCGAAGACGGGUAGCUGGUCUGAGAGGAUGAUCAGCCACACUGGAACUGAGACACGGUCCAGACUCCUACGGGAGGCAGCAGUGGGGAAUAUUGCGCAAUGGGCGAAAGCCUGACGCAGCCACGCCGCGUGAGCGAUGAAGGCCUCGGGUCGGUAAAGACGUCUGUCAAAGGAAGAAGUAGUGCAAUGGCGUAAUACCUAGUUG
RNAcentral lists this ribosomal RNA (443 nucleotides) under uncultured bacterium. Its description in RNAcentral is "bacterial SSU rRNA". It matches the Rfam family "Bacterial small subunit ribosomal RNA", at positions 29 to 474 of the family's 1533-position model. The record is from RNAcentral.